Agelaius phoeniceus (red-winged blackbird) is the source of this 219-nucleotide non-coding RNA. The record is from RefSeq and is a predicted model, not a curated record. Lineage: Eukaryota; Metazoa; Chordata; Aves; Passeriformes; Icteridae.
CGAGGCUACCGAUUUCCCCAGAAUCUACCAUUUGACAUCGAGGAGCGGCAGCAUCCGAAGCACGUUCUUCAGCGUCUCGAAUUUUUACCAGUGUGUCUAUGGAUUGUAUCUGCACUUGCAUUUGUAUACACUGUUUCCAUGUAUUUUGCUGAUGCAUAAAUAAAAACAUUCUUUUAAUAAAGUUGAGUCACCCCUAAUAAAGAUACCCCCUGCCCUUCA